GACAAACGCUGGCGGCGUGCAUAAAACAUGCAAGUCGAACGGACUUCAGUCCGCAAGGACUGAAGUGAGUGGCGAACGGCUGAGUAACACGUAGGUGACCUGCCCCGAAGUUUGGGAUAACACCUCGAAAGAGGUGCUAAUACCGGAUGUGACCACCGAUUCAUUUCGGUGCUUAAAGUCGCAAGACGCUUUGGGAGGGGCCUGCGGCGGAUUAGCUAGUUGGUGUGGAACGGCACACCAAGGCUUCGAUCCGUAGCUGGUCUGAGAGGAUGGCCAGCCAGACUGGGACUGAGACACGGCCCAGACUCCUACGGGAGGCAGCAGUGGGGAAUCUUGCGCAAUGGGCGAAAGCCUGACGCAGCGACGCCGCGUGAGGGAUGACGGCCUCGGUU
This 392-nucleotide ribosomal RNA is filed under the name uncultured bacterium. RNAcentral's name for it is "bacterial SSU rRNA". It matches the Rfam family "Bacterial small subunit ribosomal RNA", at positions 28 to 424 of the family's 1533-position model. The record is from RNAcentral.